Molecule: long non-coding RNA, 106 nt
Organism: Nomascus leucogenys (northern white-cheeked gibbon)
Lineage: Eukaryota; Metazoa; Chordata; Mammalia; Primates; Hylobatidae
Exons: 3
Source: RefSeq, a predicted model, not a curated record
CAUGCCUGUAAUCCCAGCUACUCGUGAGGCUAAGGCAGGAGAAUCGCUUGAACCUGGGGAGGCAGAGCUUGCAGUGAGCCGAGAUUGCGCCACUGCACUCCAGCCU